This is a long non-coding RNA of Passer domesticus (house sparrow), 3973 nucleotides long. RefSeq lists it as uncharacterized. The transcript is spliced from 2 exons. Lineage: Eukaryota; Metazoa; Chordata; Aves; Passeriformes; Passeridae. The record is from RefSeq and is a predicted model, not a curated record.
CAGAAACCCUCACACCUGGACACAGCUGGUUGCUGGCUCAGGUUGGCUACAGCCCCCGUGCUGCAGCCUCAGUUCAUCCAGCACGGCGAUCUUGGCAGACAGAGACCACCAUGGAGUUUAACUGAAGCCACUUUGUUGGCCUGCUCUUUGCAGCAAAAACAAUCACAGCUUUGUAGCUAUGCAGCACUUGGCAAAAUGAAUUCUUAGUGCUGCUCCCUCCUUCUCAUGCUUUCUAUGUCUGUGCUCCAGUAGCAAUGCUGUGUGUCUUAAAGGCAGUAAUUUGCAGGGGUCACUACUUGUUUCAGCCUCUGCCCAUUGAACUCGGGACAGAGGACAGAAGGUUCUUGCAGUUAUGUUACAGUUUUACAGCUCUAGGAUCUUCGGUCAGGUCGGCCUGGGGAUCAGUUGUGGUAGAUGUCAGAAUUGUCAAAGCAACAGCUACCCCAAAAUCCUGCACUAGGGAUUUCUAGGGAAAACACAAAUCACUGGAGCCAAGAGAAAGGUGAAAGGGUCAAAAAGUAUUCAUUCACUUUUAAUCACAACUUCAUCUAGCACAGUGUGACUGAGGAAGUUCCCAGACAAAGGCUCAAGGGAACAUCCAACAGCACUGUUCCAUGGCCUGCCAAAUAUAAAUCUGAGGCUGAAUUCAAUGCCACCCUAAAGAAUGGUAUCAUCACGUAUCAGUAGCUGUCAGUCUAUUGCCUGACUGAGAUUCUAUGUGCCUUACAUUGCUGUUGCCUCCCAGCUCUGACACCGCCAGGGCCAGCCUUCUUCAGCCCGGUUUGCCUGGCACCAUGGAGGAAGUCUGGAUUUGGACGUUUAAGCUGUAAUUACAUUAAGCAGCCACAUUCCCUAGAGGUGAAGCAAGAAAGAGCAUGCCCCAGUGGUCGUGCAUAGGCUCAGAAGCUGAGAUGUAUUCCUCCAGCCCCUGCUGCAGCCAUGGUACAUGCAGUUCAUCUCGAGUUUCUCAGCUAUAAAACAGUCAAAUACUCACUGAGCCCAGAUUUCAUAUGCCACCUAGGCAACGAGUGAAGGUUUGCAGAACAAGCAAAUUAGUUGCUAGUGCUUUCUCCUUCCCUUUUGCCCCACUCCAGCAAAUGCUAACAGCCUGAUGGUAUUUGCCAGACAUUUUGAAAUCCACAGGAGUUCAUCUGCCACUCCAUCCAUCUGCUCCCUGCUCUGGAAAGGGUGCUGGCUUAGCCACUGUACACCUUGCAGCUCAGUCCAGGCUUGUCAUGCCUGCCAAGAAAGGGUCUGGACCCUGUUCCAUGCCUUCUUGCCCCUUCCAGUGUCCACUGCGUAGCUCAGGCCCCCACCCAGUCACAUCUGGUGAAUUGGACCCUGCUAAGGUGUUAUUUAUGGAAGCCUGUCACGGAGCUUGAAACCAAGCCAGGCAGGAGCCUUCUGCUUCACCCAAAUGCAUCUUAGUGCAUUAAUAAAGAGCAAACAUUGCAAUGUGCUUUGCAUUUUUACUUACAAUCCAGCACUGCAUUGUCUGGAGAGAAAAGCAAUGUGGUAUGGCCCCACACUGCCUGGGGAGGAGAGUUCACUCUCACGCACUGCAGCCCUGUGUUAGUCAGCCCUCAGACAGCCCAGCACCACCCUGGCUGCACAGAAAAUCCUGCUGAUGUGACAGUGUGGCACCAACAUCCCAGCCUGGCAGCAGUGGGGAAACCUGGCUUGCCUGGGCUGCAUGAUCCAGUAGUGUUUGCAGUGAGUGGUGCACAGCUAUGGCACGUGUGGGCAAAUGGGAGCACUCUGCACCAAAAGAUCCAGGUGUAGGACCAGGACACAGGAUAACCCUCUGUCCCUUUAUUUCCAAGAUAAUGCACUAGUUCUUACGCACAACAUGGUCCAAUGAAACCAAAGAUCAGACAAGCAGUCUGUGCACAUCCCCCUGCUAUCUGGUCAGGAAAGUUCAGCUUUAUCUUCACUGCAAAGAUGCAGCUUUUCAGCAGCUUCUUGAGUAUUCCUCCUUAGCCCACAAGGAGCAUAUGGAAGGGAUGCAAACUCACCAAACUGACUGACAAUCAUCCCCUCAGGCCUUUCCCAGGUACCUGGUCAGCUCACCUGCUUUCAUGAGACAUCUGAGCAGCCAGCUCCUUGCAAAGAGCACAGUCUGUAUAUCACACCAACUGCUUGCCUUUGGUGAGACUGUCAGAAAGCCACACUGCCAACCACCUGCACCUCUGCAAUCUGCAGCCUUGUACAGUCCAUGGUGCUUGGCACCAGCAGUUCAUGGUUCUCCUCAGAGCCCAGAUAUCAGACCCAUGUGCACUUGUAACACAGAAAUUUUCCAGCAGGUUAGGUAGUCUGAGAGAGAUUAAACUUCUUCCUCUCCUCUUGGAGGCUUUUGCUGUUUCUCGGAGGCUUAGUAAGGUCUCUAGAAAAGAGAGCAGAAAGAUGGAGUUUCUCAGAAGGUACAAACAGUUGUCACAGCUAGAAACUAUGCGCAGCCACUCUUCCCAGAGCUAAGCAUCCCCAAACCACUACUGAUCGUGUGCAGAACACAGUUUCUAAGCAGCUGCUCCUUUCCAGAGCAAGCUCAGGUAGAGAUUAGCCCAAAGCCAGCUGAAGGAUCUCCAAAAGAAAACUGAUGUGUGGCAUCUGACACAAUCUGGAAUCCAAGUCAGGACCUACAACUGAAACAGCAGAGCUGCUGUUGCAGAAACCAUUAAAAGGAUUAAAACACUUCUCUGGAAACUGCACAAACUAUUAAAAACUGUACAAACUAUACCAAGUACAGUAUUAAAACUGCAGAGCAGACUCCUAAAUCUAAAAAACCUGCCAGCUGCUCCACUUAGCCUGUGUCUCCAGAACACUCCUGCACUUCCCAGUGACAUCAGGCUCCCCCAGUGAACUUCCCAGUGCAAUGUUUUCGUUGUCUCUUCUUGGCCAAGACAAGCCAUGCCUUUUUGGCAGGAGCAAGCUGGGCUCAGUUAGUCAUAUCUUUGUCACUUCUUGGCUAGACUACAGCUAUGUGAUACACCUGGGCAUGAAGCCCACAGUGAUUGUCAAAUGCCAACUAGAAGAGCAUGCUGCAGUGGCAGCCCUGGCUGCCACGAGUGCAUCAAACCUACCUCUGCUCUCUAGGCCACCUUCUGGCAUGAAAGCCAAGCCAAAUUCAAGCUUCAGUCCUGAUCUUUAAGGCAUUUGAUGGCAUGGACCCAGCAUGGCUAAAAGAUCAGUUAAGACACCGAGCUGGAAACCAUGAUCAUCAACAACUCCACCACUCUCCGAGAGCAGUGAACCCACCCAGCAUGAGGACCGUGUUUGUCUGUGGCAGAGACAGAUCCUGUCUGAGACCAAACUCUUCCCAGCUGGUGAAAAAGGAAGGGUGUCUAAGAUGCUGAGUAAUUCCCUUCUUUUGCAUAUCCCAUCUCUCUGCCAAGACAUGAAUCAGGGUCACUCUUGGUUUAGUUUGCUUUUGCAUUUUCUUUCUUUUCUAUUUUAUUUUAUUUUAAAUAGUAACAUUGGUCUCCUGAACCCAUGUGAAGUCCUUGUUCUCUUUCCCAGCAAUGAAGUCUCCUGUUGGCAGAACAAGGUGCACUACAGCUAAGAGGUCUUGGCACGAACCAACAAGAUCUACAUUUCAACAACAAGCACUACAGCCUCCCUCCCAAAGACACCCUUCAGGGGUCAGUCCCUGAAGCAGUUGAAUUGAGGAUGCCUUGAUGACAAAUUCCUUCUGCAGGUCCCUGGAUGGUCUAAUCCAACAAUCUGUGCACUGUGCUCCGCAGGGAAACAACUUGGGACAUGGCUACUGUAGGUAAAAGGUUUGGAGAGAGAGGGAGGCAACUGAAAAUAAGGUCCCUUCGUUGCUGCAGACCUUAUGCAUGGUUUCCACUUCCCUGUGACAUGCGGUGAUAGAGACAGACUGCCCGUGGAAAGUGCUAGUGCUGUUACACUGUGUCUGCUUCUCCUGAUGGAGACAAACCUAUGCCGGGGUGGAUUAAAAUCUGAGCUACAAACA